RNAcentral lists this small nucleolar RNA (132 nucleotides) under Dasypus novemcinctus (nine-banded armadillo). RNAcentral's name for it is "Small nucleolar RNA SNORA38 (ENSDNOG00000049465.1)". It matches the Rfam family "Small nucleolar RNA SNORA38". From Rfam's summary of the family: ACA38 is a member of the H/ACA class of snoRNA that guide the sites of modification of uridines to pseudouridines. The record is from RNAcentral. Lineage: Eukaryota; Metazoa; Chordata; Mammalia; Cingulata; Dasypodidae.
CACUCCUAUAAAGGCAGGCCUGUGGUUUCCAGUCCUUGGACACAUAAGAAUUGGAGGCAAAGAGAUGUGGACUUGGGUAAGUCUGGAGCCAACUUGCUCUCUGCAGGCUCACGAUCACCCUUUCCUACACAG